This 514-nucleotide ribosomal RNA is filed under the name uncultured bacterium. Its description in RNAcentral is "partial 16S ribosomal RNA". It matches the Rfam family "Bacterial small subunit ribosomal RNA", at positions 28 to 523 of the family's 1533-position model. The record is from RNAcentral.
GACGAACGCUGGCGGCGCGCUUAACACAUGCAAGUCGAACGGGAAUUCAGCAAUGAGUUCUAGUGGCGAACGGGUGAGUAACACGUGGACAACCUACCUUCAAGAUGGGGACAACAUUCCGAAAGGGAUGCUAAUACCGAAUAAAGCUGCUGAUUCGCAUGAAUCGGUAGUGAAAGGCGGCCUUUAUUUAUAAGCUGUCACUUGAAGAAGGGUCCGCGCCGGAUUAGCGAGUUGGAGGGGUAACGGCCCACCAAGGCAACGAUCAGUAGCCGGGCUGAGAGGACGAACGGCCACACUGGGACUGAGACACGGCCCAGACUCCUACGGGAGGCAGCAGUGGGGAAUCUUCCGCAAUGGACGAAAGUCUGACGGAGCGACGCCGCGUGGGUGAAGAAGGCCUUAGGGUCGUAAAGCCCUGUCAUUAGGGACGAAUGGCAACAGGACGAAUAAGCCUGUUGUUUGACGGUACCUAAGGAGGAAGCCCCGGCUAACUACGUGCCAGCAGCCGCGGUAA